GCUCCAAAGAAGAGGGAAAAUACAAAAAUAAUAUUCUGGUCCGUGGAAUAAGGAAGCAGCUUAUACCAAUAAGAAAUACAAAAACUAGGGAGAAGGUGGACAGAGCAAUAGAAGGCGCACAAAGGGCAGCCGCCAUGGCGAGAACCAAAGUGGAAAUUGCGAAUUCAAGGACUGCACACGCAAGAGCGAAAGCUGACGCUGCUGACCAGGCUGCGCUGGCCGCCCGCCAGGAGUGCGACAUCGCGAGAGCUGUAGCCAGGGAGCUGUCACCUGAUUUCUACCAACCAGGCCCCGAUUAUAUCAAACAGAGAUUGCAGGAAGGUGUAGAUGCUAAAGAAAACCCAGAAGAAAAGGUACCAGAAAAGCCACCUACCCCAAAGGAAUCUCCUCAUUUUUAUCGCAAAGGCACGACACCCCCGAGGUCUCCUGAGGCAAGUCCCAAACAGAGCCACUCUCCCCAACCUCCCUCCCCAAAGUCCAUGAAGAAGCAAAACCCCACCUCUGGGGCCAGACUCAAUCAAGAUAAAAGGAGUAUGGCUGACGAGCAGGUGACAACUGUGGUCAAUAAGCCCUUGAUGUCAAAGGCUCCCUCAAAGGAGGUCGGAGCCAUCGUGUCCCAGUCCAAGUACUCUGGCCGCCACCACAUCCCCACCCCCAGUAAUGGGGAGCUGCAUUCUCAGUAUCACGGCUACUAUGUGAAACUGAACGCCCCCCAGCACCCUCCAGAACACGUGGGGGACGAUGAUGAAGCGAGCCAGUCUUCCUCAGCACUGGUGCACAAGCCAUCGCCUAACAAGUGGAGUCCCCCCAAACCUGUGACAAAACCAGUUGCCAAAGAAAGCAAAGCUGAGCCAAAAGCUAAGAAGUCUGAACUUGCUAUACCAAAGAAUCCAGCAAGCAACGAUUCGUGCCCUUUGGAAAAAGAAGCCAAUUCAGGCCCUAAUUCAGUCAUGAUUGUCCUUGUCAUGCUGUUGAAUAUCGGGUUGGCCAUUCUUUUUGUUCACUUUCUAACUUGAUUGGAAUUAGGAAAGGUAAGAAUAGCCUUAAUUUCUCUACCAAAUUACAGUAAAUAACAUUUCUAUUCUCAUAUUCAAAUUUGCACUUUUUUUUUUUAAACAAUGACAUAUUGUCCUUCACUUUAUUUUGGCUGUGCCUGAAUGUGAUUCAACAUAGUUACUUAAUGCUGUAACUGUUUUGACCCUUCAGUGAAGUCAUGACAACUAGUGGUGUUAGCCCACAGUCCUCUGCCGUGGUGUCGUCAGCCCUUUAAAUGGCACACCCCAGUCAGACUCAGACACAGGCAAGGAGGCUUGGAAUUAGGAUGGGAUCGCGAGAGAGAGAUGACACUUGGAAAAAUUCAGCCAGAGGACCUGUUCAGUUCCCCCUGGGAAUGCUUUGUGGCUUUGGGGUCCUCUGGGAGCUGAAGCACACAGCCAUGUUGGAGAACAAAACUUAAUAAUAAUUCUUUUUUAAAAUCUGCUGAAGCAGCCCCAUCCGGCGAAGUUCUUGGCAUUGGCUACUCCAUCUGUCCUAGCAGAGUGUGACUAAACUGGAAAUGUAUGGAGCUGCAUUUUUUUUUUUUUUUUUUGAUGGAAGUCAACAGCUGCCUUACUAUUUUACCAUCUGACGUUUUUAGUAGGGAGCUGGGGAAACGACUGCCCGAGGAAUGCGGUCGGAGGAUUGUGUUGCUGUGGACGAGGUUCCAACAUUCACUCCUAUCUCAUUAGAAGAAAUAGGUAGCAGCAUCACUCACCAGUCUUAUGCCGUGACCUGCUGCUUUAACAUCUCCUGGAAUGUUCCGGGAGAGAACGUUUCGUUUGCUUGCACGACUCUGCUCAUUUUUGCUGUUUAUUUAAAUACGAUGUACAGUCACCUACCACCUGCGGUCCUGGCUGGACUAAACGCACAUGUUGCAUCUCAAGGAAAAGAAACAACAAAAACGCUAGUGGAAAAUGUGUUUAUUUUGAUAGCAAUACAUCAUUUUUUUAUGUCGUUUAUUCUUAAGCCUAUAAAAGUUUAUUUAUCUUUAAAGCUUAACAAUCUGAAGGCAUUAUACCUUCCAAAGAAAUAAUCUAAAUAUUUUUAACAUGACCGAGAUGAAUUAUUUAUGCACUUAGGAGGUGCUAAAUUUUAAAAGCUGAAAGACAACAGAAUUUUAAAGUAUAGUCAAAAUGUUGCAUGGAUUGCAGUAAUCAGUGUUUAAAGGAUUCAGUUUCAUUGCUGACGUACUUUACAACCAAAUAAAAUCUUGUCAGUGGCUAUGUUAAUUCCCAUGAAAGUUAAGCAAGAUGCUAUAAAUAACUACUCUUCUCUUUUUAUUUUCUUUCCAACUUAAAUUUUUGUUGAAUACAUUCAGGUAGAGCAUAAAACCUUGUUAAAAAUCACUGCUUCUCAAUCUUCUGCCUUUCAUGUUUUUCAAAAGUCUUUUUGUAACUUCAUUUCAAAUUUUAAAGACUUAGAUAUUUUUAUUUUAAAUAUUUGUCCUUUGUUAUUCUGACAUACUCCUUUUUUGCUGUUUUAUAAUUUAUCCUUUAUUACUCAGAAGCAUGCUUAGAGAAUCUGCAUAGUCUUUAUAAAAGUAAUUAUUAAAAAAGAAAUCAGGGGAGGAAAGGUAUGUUAAAUCUCUUGAAAACAUUACUCUGUGGAGGGGGAGCACUUCCUAAAGACGUUCAUGAUUUGCCUGGUUUAAUCGGAUUCUUUUUACAUUACUAGCUACCUUCUCAGUGCAGAAGAGACAGUUCACGUAGUUCCCACGGUAGCACAGGUGUGGGCUGCAUGCUUUGUCACCUGCAGGGUAGUAACCCAGUGGUGUUUUUUGCAGAAGUACAAUAUGUUGAGAAUCCUGGGUGUGACCAAUAUGGAAUAAAGAAGGCGGCAGAAAGAGAGCAAAUGAAAAAUUACAACUUGUAUAUUUAUUUUUUACAUUUUUGCUUUGACUUUUUCGAUUUAGGAAGUACGUUUUUACCCAAGAACAAACGUUUAAGUUCCUGUGUCAGUCUCAGCACUCUCACUGCUCCUCCUAACCCUUUAGCUCCUUAUGCUGGGGAAAGCUGAUUUUUUUUUAAGAAAAUAAAAUAUUUAAUCUUAUUAAGUGUUUAUUUAAAAUGUGUAAUGCUUUGGAGAUAAUGGGUAACAGAUAACUAAAGGAUAUGUUUAUAAAGUGAGCAUGUUUGUUCCAUUUAUAAAUAUAUGUAUGAUUUAUAAGCUUUUUUAAAACAAAGCUCAAAUUGUUGGUAUUUUUCUAAAAUGUGCCCAGCUGUAUUUUACAUGAAGGCUCUUUCUAAUGGGUUGUUAUACUGUACUCUACAUUUUGGACAGCACAUGAAGUCUGCCAAUGUACUUAAUAAAACAUGACUUUGUUUAUUUAAAGUUUCUUGCUGUGAAAAAGAACUCCCUACCUGUGAGUUCCUUUAUUUAUAAUCCUUGAAACCAAAAUGUAUAAUGUACAGUUUUCACAACUGUAUCAGCUCUAAUAAAAAGAAAUCGGUUAUUAAUAAAGUUUGGAGGUGUGUUUCCUUUGUGAGUAAAUUACUGUCUUUUGUGGACUUUUUUUUUUG
Ictidomys tridecemlineatus (thirteen-lined ground squirrel) is the source of this 3557-nucleotide long non-coding RNA. The record is from Ensembl. Lineage: Eukaryota; Metazoa; Chordata; Mammalia; Rodentia; Sciuridae.